ACUGGCUAAAAACUUCGGAAUCGGCGACGCUGCAUAUCUGUCGCCUGCCCGUUGCGGGGGGGGGCCAAAAGGCGCAGUGAAACAUGCAAGCGGGAAGCCUAGUACAUGGCCGUUGGAACUACAACAAGCACAAAGAAGCGGAAUCCC
Molecule: ribosomal RNA, 147 nt
Filed under: Prorocentrum minimum
Lineage: Eukaryota; Dinophyceae; Prorocentrales; Prorocentraceae
Description: partial Bacterial large subunit ribosomal RNA
Source: RNAcentral